Molecule: long non-coding RNA, 297 nt
Organism: Odontomachus brunneus
Lineage: Eukaryota; Metazoa; Arthropoda; Insecta; Hymenoptera; Formicidae
Exons: 3
Source: RefSeq, a predicted model, not a curated record
CGAGCGCAUCGCGGGAGCUGCCGCGUUAUUUUCUAAAUUAUUUCGCGCCGAUUUUUGAUACCGCAUUUUGACUUCGUCACAAUUAAGGCAAUAAUUAACACAAUUUGAGACGCAUACUUAUCACGCGAGCAGAUGUUGUGGGCUUUACCGCAGCAGAUAUCUAAUAGAGAAGAAGCAGUCGCGUGGCUCUAGAGGAUGUGAUACCUGGGAGAUGCCGCGCCGGAGGAUUCGGCUCGAGCCUGGCAGAGUUGGCGCGAAGAGACGAAGCAGACGACCAGCCAACUCUUAGGGGUUGCU